UCUUAGUAGGAAAAAUUAAUUCUAAUUUUUGUUGUUUCUUCUUCUUUUGGGGCCAAAAGAGACCAGAUUCAAUUUUGGUUUCUUCAAAGGCCAAGCAUUUUGAUCUUUUUUUUUUUUUCAGGAAACCCUUUUGCCAUCUUGGAUUCCAAGUUCAAAAAUCAUCCAUGAAACUGGAGUAACCAAUAAUCUUCUUGUAGUAACAAUCAGAAAGAUACAAAAAACAUAUACAUUAUAAAAUGAAACUGAAUUGCUUUUUUUGUUGUAUGUCUGAGAGACGAUUUACCAGACGUUCAUCAUCGAUACCAAGCAUCAAAGACUGCAUUCAUGCAAAUAACAAUCUUUCUAGAUUUGACAACAUUUCUUUUAAAACAGAUAGCAGUAGGCGAAGAUACAUAUCCGAAGAGAUAGCAAAACUUGGGAAAGGGAACAUCAGUGCUCAUAUUUUUACAUUCAGAGAGCUCCGCGUCGCCACCAAGAACUUUAACCCUGAGAAUCAGCUCGGUGAAGGCGGUUUCGGAAGGGUUUACAAAGGGCACAUAGAAACCCCUGAAAAGGUUGUUGCGGUUAAGCAGCUAGACAGGAACGGCUACCAAGGGAACAGAGAGUUCCUUGUUGAAGUCAUGAUGCUGAGUCUCUUACAUCAUCAAAACCUUGUCAAUUUGGUUGGAUAUUGCGCAGACGGUGAUCAACGGAUUCUUGUCUAUGAAUAUAUGCAAAAUGGCUCAUUAGAAGAUCAUCUUCUCGAAUUGGUGCGGAACAAGAAGAAACCGUUGGAUUGGGACACAAGGAUGAAAGUUGCAGCAGGUGCAGCGAGAGGGCUCGAGUAUCUACACGAGACGGCUGAUCCUCCUGUGAUCUACAGAGACUUCAAGGCCUCCAACAUAUUACUUGACGAAGAAUUCAACCCAAAACUUUCGGAUUUUGGCUUAGCUAAAGUUGGUCCGACCGGUGGAGAGACUCAUGUGUCGACGAGAGUGAUGGGAACGUACGGCUACUGUGCGCCUGAGUAUGCUCUCACGGGACAGCUCACUGUGAAAUCCGAUGUUUACAGCUUCGGAGUCGUGUUCUUGGAGAUGAUCACAGGGCGAAGAGUCAUCGACACCAAGAAACCAACUCAAGAACAGAAUCUAGUGACUUGGGCGAGUCCGUUGUUUAAAGAUAAGAGAAAGUUCACGUUAAUGGCGGAUCCGUUGCUUGAAGGGAAGUAUCCGACAAAGGGAUUGUAUCAAGCGCUUGCAGUUGCAGCGAUGUGUCUACAAGAAGAAGCAGAAACAAGACCAACGAUGAGCGAUGUAGUCACCGCGCUUGAGUACUUAGGAGUGACCAAAGUCGAAGAAAAUAAUGAAACAGAUAACAACAACAAAGAAGGAGGAGAAGAUGAAAGAUCUAACCUUUAAGCAUUUUUUGUCUUGAUACGGUGCACAAAUCUGUAACUCAUCAUCAUGGAGUUAGGUUUUAGAGUUACAACAAGCAUUAUCAUACACAAAAUUAUUCCAACUACAUGGGGAUGCUUGCGGUUGAGGGGACCUACGAUAAGAUGGAGACCAAAACAUUCAUCCUGUAGAUAUACUUUUGAAGUUAGUAGCGUAAGAAGACAAGCCUAAGCUCGAGGAGCUUCUUAGAGCGCGGCGUUGACUUCACAGUUCUAGACGCUGAUGGAAGAACUGCAGCGAGUAGAUCCAUGAUAUGAUUCUUGGAUGACUCACUCAAAAGGCUUGACAAAAUCUUCAAUAGGUUAUUCUUACAGAGAAGUCAUGUCUGUUUUUGGUACCUACUUGAUAAAUCUCAGUUCUGUCUCUAUGUGUUACUUUUAAGUUUGGUCUAAUGUCUAAAGAUGCUGCAGCUUUAAAAUAAAGAUUGAUCUCAUUACCAAAAA
RNA transcript from Brassica rapa (field mustard), 1876 nucleotides. It is a transcript of the gene named probable serine/threonine-protein kinase PBL23, with no coding region annotated. The record is from RefSeq and is a predicted model, not a curated record. Lineage: Eukaryota; Viridiplantae; Streptophyta; Magnoliopsida; Brassicales; Brassicaceae.